RNAcentral lists this ribosomal RNA (1414 nucleotides) under Vibrio parahaemolyticus. Its description in RNAcentral is "bacterial SSU rRNA". It matches the Rfam family "Bacterial small subunit ribosomal RNA". Lineage: Bacteria; Pseudomonadati; Pseudomonadota; Gammaproteobacteria; Vibrionales; Vibrionaceae. The record is from RNAcentral.
GUCGAGCGGAAACGAGUUAUCUGAACCUUCGGGGGACGAUAACGGCGUCGAGCGGCGGACGGGUGAGUAAUGCCUAGGAAAUUGCCCUGAUGUGGGGGAUAACCAUUGGAAACGAUGGCUAAUACCGCAUGAUGCCUACGGGCCAAAGAGGGGGACCUUCGGGCCUCUCGCGUCAGGAUAUGCCUAGGUGGGAUUAGCUAGUUGGUGAGGUAAGGGCUCACCAAGGCGACGAUCCCUAGCUGGUCUGAGAGGAUGAUCAGCCACACUGGAACUGAGACACGGUCCAGACUCCUACGGGAGGCAGCAGUGGGGAAUAUUGCACAAUGGGCGCAAGCCUGAUGCAGCCAUGCCGCGUGUGUGAAGAAGGCCUUCGGGUUGUAAAGCACUUUCAGUCGUGAGGAAGGUAGUGUAGUUAAUAGCUGCAUUAUUUGACGUUAGCGACAGAAGAAGCACCGGCUAACUCCGUGCCAGCAGCCGCGGUAAUACGGAGGGUGCGAGCGUUAAUCGGAAUUACUGGGCGUAAAGCGCAUGCAGGUGGUUUGUUAAGUCAGAUGUGAAAGCCCGGGGCUCAACCUCGGAAUUGCAUUUGAAACUGGCAGACUAGAGUACUGUAGAGGGGGGUAGAAUUUCAGGUGUAGCGGUGAAAUGCGUAGAGAUCUGAAGGAAUACCGGUGGCGAAGGCGGCCCCCUGGACAGAUACUGACACUCAGAUGCGAAAGCGUGGGGAGCAAACAGGAUUAGAUACCCUGGUAGUCCACGCCGUAAACGAUGUCUACUUGGAGGUUGUGGCCUUGAGCCGUGGCUUUCGGAGCUAACGCGUUAAGUAGACCGCCUGGGGAGUACGGUCGCAAGAUUAAAACUCAAAUGAAUUGACGGGGGCCCGCACAAGCGGUGGAGCAUGUGGUUUAAUUCGAUGCAACGCGAAGAACCUUACCUACUCUUGACAUCCAGAGAACUUUCCAGAGAUGGAUUGGUGCCUUCGGGAACUCUGAGACAGGUGCUGCAUGGCUGUCGUCAGCUCGUGUUGUGAAAUGUUGGGUUAAGUCCCGCAACGAGCGCAACCCUUAUCCUUGUUUGCCAGCGAGUAAUGUCGGGAACUCCAGGGAGACUGCCGGUGAUAAACCGGAGGAAGGUGGGGACGACGUCAAGUCAUCAUGGCCCUUACGAGUAGGGCUACACACGUGCUACAAUGGCGCAUACAGAGGGCGGCCAACUUGCGAAAGUGAGCGAAUCCCAAAAAGUGCGUCGUAGUCCGGAUUGGAGUCUGCAACUCGACUCCAUGAAGUCGGAAUCGCUAGUAAUCGUGGAUCAGAAUGCCACGGUGAAUACGUUCCCGGGCCUUGUACACACCGCCCGUCACACCAUGGGAGUGGGCUGCAAAAGAAGUAGGUAGUUUAACCUUCGGGGGGACGCU